This 704-nucleotide ribosomal RNA is filed under the name uncultured organism. RNAcentral describes it as "bacterial SSU rRNA". It matches the Rfam family "Bacterial small subunit ribosomal RNA", at positions 33 to 707 of the family's 1533-position model. The record is from RNAcentral.
ACGCUGGCGGCGUGCUUAACACAUGCAAGUCGAACGAGAAAUCUUUAGCUUGCUAGAGAAAGUAAAGUGGCGCACGGGUGAGUAACGCGUGGGUAAUCUGCCUCCGAAUCGGGGAUAACAUUGCGAAAGCGAUGCUAAUACCGGAUAAAAUCUGGUUGGCUUAGGUGAACCGGAUCAAAGGUGGUCUCUUUAUAAAAGCUACCGUUUGGAGAUGAGCUCGCGUACCAUUAGCUAGUUGGUGAGGUAAAGGCUCACCAAGGCGACGAUGGUUAGCUGGUCUGAGAGGAUGAUCAGCCACACCGGAACUGGAACACGGUCCGGACUCCUACGGGAGGCAGCAGUUGAGGAAUUUUGCGCAAUGGGGGAAACCCUGACGCAGCAACGCCGCGUGAGUGAUGAAGGCUUUCGGGUCGUAAAGCUCUGUCAGGUGGGAAGAACCCACCAAGUGUUAAGACCACUUGGUGCUGACGGUACCACCGAAGGAAGCACCGGCUAACUCCGUGCCAGCAGCCGCGGUAAUACGGGGGGUGCGAGCGUUAUUCGGAAUCAUUGGGCGUAAAGGGCGCGCAGGCGGUUUUGUACGUCAGAUGUGAAAUCCCGGGGGCUUAACCCCGGAAGUGCAUAUGAAACUAUGAGACUUGAGUAUGGGAGAGGGAAGCGGCAUUCCUGGAGUAGCGGUGAAAUGCGUAGAUAUCAGGAGGAAC